AUAUUUUCAAACAAAAAAAAAUCUGUUCUUAUCAGUUUAAUAUCUGAUACGUCCCCUACCCGGGGACCAUAUAUUAAAUUGAUUUUUGGAACUGGGAGAUGGAAAAGGGGCUUGCCCCGUCCACUCCACGCAUCGACCUGGUAUUGCAGUACCUCCAGGACCGGUGCACCCCUC
The sequence is a small nuclear RNA, 174 nucleotides long. Its record names the gene U2. It matches the Rfam family "U2 spliceosomal RNA". Rfam says of the family: U2 is a small nuclear RNA (snRNA) component of the spliceosome (involved in pre-mRNA splicing). Complementary binding between U2 snRNA (in an area lying towards the 5' end but 3' to hairpin I) and the branchpoint sequence (BPS) of the intron results the bulging out of an unpaired adenosine, on the BPS, which initiates a nucleophilic attack at the intronic 5' splice site, thus starting the first of two transesterification reactions that mediate splicing. The record is from Ensembl.